Molecule: non-coding RNA, 143 nt
Organism: Vicugna pacos (alpaca)
Lineage: Eukaryota; Metazoa; Chordata; Mammalia; Artiodactyla; Camelidae
Source: RefSeq, a predicted model, not a curated record
GUCCUGGCUUUACACACCAGUGGGUAGUCAUAAGCCCCAGGACACAGAGACUUUAUCAAAAACAUGAUUACAGACACAUCUCAGGCUGACUGUGCUGUCCUGAUUGUUGCUGCUGGUGUUGGUGAAUUUGAAGCAGAUAUCUC